Non-coding RNA from Nematostella vectensis (starlet sea anemone), 82 nucleotides. The record is from Rfam. NCBI's taxonomy places the organism in Eukaryota, Metazoa, Cnidaria, Anthozoa, Actiniaria, Edwardsiidae.
GUUGGGGUGGCCGAGUGGUUAAGGCGUUGGACUAGAAAUCCAAUGGGAUCUUCCCGCGCAGGCCCGAAUCCUGCCCGCAACG